Transfer RNA from Pisolithus tinctorius Marx 270, 104 nucleotides. It matches the Rfam family "tRNA". Rfam says of the family: Transfer RNA (tRNA) molecules are approximately 80 nucleotides in length. Their secondary structure includes four short double-helical elements and three loops (D, anti-codon, and T loops). The record is from Rfam. NCBI's taxonomy places the organism in Eukaryota, Fungi, Basidiomycota, Agaricomycetes, Boletales, Pisolithaceae.
GCCCGCCUAGCUCAAUCGGAUAGAGCGUCAGACUUUUACAAUCCGUACGAGUCGUACGUGGCGGUGUGAUCUGAAGGCUGCGAGUUCGACCCUCGCGGUGGGCU